Molecule: unclassified non-coding RNA, 354 nt
Filed under: soil metagenome
Description: partial contains 5.8S ribosomal RNA, internal transcribed spacer 2, and large subunit ribosomal RNA
Rfam family: 5.8S ribosomal RNA (bases 1-120)
Source: RNAcentral
GAUGAAGAACGUAGCGAAAUGCGAUAAGUAAUGUGAAUUGCAGAAUUCCGUGAAUCAUCGAAUCUUUGAACGCACAUUGCGCCCCCUGGCAUUCCGGGGGGCAUGCCUGUCCGAGCGUCAUUUCUGCCCUCCAGCCCGGCUGGGUGUUGGGCGCUGUCCCCCCGGGGACACGCCCCAAAGGCAGUGGCGGUGCCGCGUCGGGUCCUCGAGAGUAUGGGGCUUUGUCACCCGCUCGGGACGGACUCGUCGGCGCUGGUCUUCCUCCAGGCGACCCUUCGGGGCUCGUCUUCCUUCGGUUGACCUCGGAUCAGGUAGGGUUACCCGCUGAACUUAAGCAUAUCAAUAAGCGGAGGA